AUGAUAUCACCCUCUUUCUUCUUCCUUCCUUCCUUCCUUCCUUCCUUUCCCUUCCUUCCUUCCUUCCUUCCUUCCUUCCUUCCUUCUUUCUUUCUUUCUUUCUUUCUUUCUUUCUUUCUUUCUUUCUUUCUUUCUUUCUUUCUUUCUUUCUUUCUUUCUUUCUUUCUUUCUUUCUUUCUUUCUUUCUUUCUUUCUUUCCUUCUUUCUUUCUUUCUUUCUUUCCUUCUUUCUUUCUUUCUUUCUUUCUUUCUUUCUUUCUUUCUUUCUUUCUUUCUUUCUUUCUUUCUUUCUUUCUUUCUUUCUUUCUUUCUUUCUUUCUUUCUUUCUUUCUUUCUUUCUUUCUUUCUUUCUUUCUCUCUCUCUCUCUCUCUCUCUCUCUCUCUCUCUCUCUCUCUCUCUCUUAACCCCUUACCUUCCAUCUUAGAAUCAAUACUGUGUAUUGGUUGCAAGAUAGAAGAAUGAUAAGGCUGGUCAACGGGAGUAAGUGAUUUGUUUAGGGUCACACAACUAGGAAGUGUCUGAAGUCCAAUUUGAACACUGGACCUCCCAUCUCUAGGCUUGACUCUCAAAUCACUGAGCUUACUAGCUGUCCCCUACCUUAGAAUUCUAAAUCGUGUCUCCAUUUUGACUUUAUCUUAGUAUAUGGUAUGACUUGUUUGUCUAUACCUAGUUUCUACCAUUCUGUUUUCCAGUUUUCUCAGUAGUGUUUGUCAAAUAGCAAUUUAUUCUCCCCAAAGCUUGGAUCUUUGGGUUUGUUAAACAGUAGCUUACUAGGGUCAUUUACCUGUGUUGAGUGUCUUAUCUAUUCUAAUGAUUCACUAUUCAUUUUCUUAGCCAAUAACAGAUUGUUUUGAUGAUUUACCACUUUGUCAUUCAGUUUGAGAUCCAGUAUAGUUAAGCCACCUUCCUUCAUUUUUUUCACUAUUUCCCUUGACAUACUAGGCCAUUUGUUCUUCCAGAUGAAAUAUAUUGUUAUUUGAAUAGUUUGGUUGAUAUUACACUGAAUAGGCAAAUUAAUUUAGAUAGAAUUGCCAUUUUUAUUAUAUUGGUUUGGCCUACCCAUG
Molecule: long non-coding RNA, 1064 nt
Filed under: Monodelphis domestica (gray short-tailed opossum)
Lineage: Eukaryota; Metazoa; Chordata; Mammalia; Didelphimorphia; Didelphidae
Description: lncRNA (ENSMODG00000050953.1)
Source: RNAcentral